RNAcentral lists this ribosomal RNA (253 nucleotides) under uncultured bacterium. RNAcentral describes it as "partial 16S ribosomal RNA". It matches the Rfam family "Bacterial small subunit ribosomal RNA", at positions 524 to 776 of the family's 1533-position model. The record is from RNAcentral.
UACGUAGGGGGCAAGCGUUGUCCGGAAUUAUUGGGCGUAAAGAGCGUGUAGGCGGUCCGGUAAGUCAGCUGUGAAAGUCAAGGGCUCAACCCUUGAAUGCCGGUUGAUACUGUCGGGCUAGAGUCCGGAAGAGGCGAGUGGAAUUCCCGGUGUAGCGGUGAAAUGCGCAGAUAUCGGGAGGAACACCAAUGGCGAAGGCAGCUCGCUGGGACGGUACUGACGCUGAGGAGCGAAAGCGUGGGGAGCGAACAGG